UCUGGCCUCAAAUCAGGUAGGACUACCCCGCUGAACUUAAGCAUAUCA
RNAcentral lists this ribosomal RNA (48 nucleotides) under Quambalaria cyanescens. Its description in RNAcentral is "partial 28S ribosomal RNA". Lineage: Eukaryota; Fungi; Basidiomycota; Exobasidiomycetes; Microstromatales; Quambalariaceae. The record is from RNAcentral.